AGAGGUCGGUGGGCUGAGCCCAGAGCUGGACACGAGCUGUGCUCUCUCCUCACGCGUGCAUGCUGCGACAUCACGAACAGACUCCUAUAGAGCUCGUACUUGAUCAUGCGCUGAUCACGAGCACAGGCAGCCAAUCAAAACGCAGCUUAGGUCUGCUGUACAUUGAGACGGUUAACUGGUUUCAUUCUGAUCAGACAGAGAGAAAGGUUGCAUGCUUUGCUUUCCGCCUAAUUCCAGUCAGUUUUGUGUGCGUCAAUGAUGAGAAGUAAGUGUUUAUGCAUCUUUUACAUACCUGUUACCACUGUUUUAUCAUUAUAGUAUUGUAUUGAGAUUAUUGAUUUAUGCGCGAGCUCGUAAAGAAUCGCGGACUGCCGCGGCUAGUAGUAGCGAUCUUUUAUGUAAAUAUAAUUGCUUUAAAUGAUAAUACAUACAUCGCCUAUUAAAUCCAUGCUUUUUGUUAUAUUUCCGCCUAAGUUAAAAGCCUGUUAAUAGUGAGAAUUAUUAUUUAUAUACGUUUAUCUGCCUUGCUUCAUCUGCUUUGCUCAUGCAUGUCAGUUAUAAAUGUAUAUUGUAGUUUAAUGUUGUGUAUAAGUAUUUCCACUUGUUACUGUUAUCCUUAUUAUCUAAAUUUACUUAUUAAUGUAUAUUUUCUUUCCUUUGUUUAGACCACACACACACACACACACCAAACACAUACACAAAGUGUGAUGGACAAUAAAGAGCUUUAAAUGGGGUUCAAGUCUCCGUGUUCUUACCGGCACUCCAUGGCGACGAUCAAAUUCACCUAAAAACCAGCUAACUCCUCUACAAAAUUGGUCCUUCGAGCCGGAGCUGGUCGUUACCAUGGCAACCCCAAAGUCAGCCCCAUCCUCUUCUCGACGUCCACACAGAGUGAUCCAGAGACCUGCCUACUUAGAUGACUACAUAGUCAAUUAUGCUGGAAACCCAUCUAGCCAUCCAGUUGGACCUAAAGAGAAAGCAAUAAUGACGUCAACCCCCAUCACUACUAGUCAAUCAUAUGGAACUGCUGGUUCAUCAGAGGACUUUAUGCAGCAGAUGAUGGAGAUUACAAAACAGCAAAGUGAGACAGCAAGGCGCCAAACAGAGCUCUUGGAGAAAGUCCUGCUACACAGUAGCCUUCAAGCAUCCACCCCCUCCUCACGAGCAUCAUCACGGCAUCAGACACCUCGGACCCGAAUCCUGCAAUCAGUGGAAAAGGGACAGCCGACAUCUGAAGUAAGCCCUGAUGUUGUUAGAAUACAGUCCUCUCCCUGGCCACUGCCUAAUAAUCCCCCGACUGUGGAAGAGCUUUCUCAGUCGCUGAGGAAAACCCACCUCAGAGACACUUAUUUCCAGUCACCUCCACCUGUAAGCAGAGAAACCACCUUAACGUCACAUCAGUAUGCCACACCCUAUAGCAGCUCUCCAUUAGACCAAAUUAGAACCCAUCAGCACAACCAAGCAGAGCCAUGGACUAAACCACUGCCUCCUCUCCCUGGACAGCAACCCAUCCAAACCACCCAGCCACAUUUCUAUAACAUACCACCUGCAGCUGUCCACCCAGUACACAGCCGGUUCGUUUCAGUGACUGAGCCAAUGCCACAAACGUCAUACCAAGCUACAUCUCAAUUUAGGGCUAACACUGUACCCUAUGCACCUCCUCCUCCCUCAUACUGGAGUCCAACAGUGGAAGGGCCCACCUUUCCAGAUUUUUACAAAGAGGACAGAGCUCAGUAUGUGGAACUUAGGAUGGCUUUGGAUAAUUUGCUCCACCCUCAAAUACCAGAGAAUUAUAAGUACUCCAUCCUCCUGAAGCAUGUGAAGGUACCUAAUGCUCACAGACUAGUGUUAGCACAUGCAGAAUCAGUCACUCCUUACACAAAUGCCCUGCAAGCCCUCGACAGGAGGUAUGGCAGGCCCUACCAGUUUGUGCUGAGAGAAAUAGAGACAUUGGAGAACCUCCCAGCUAUUCGUGCUGGUGAUGAGCGGGCAUUCGAUGAGUUUUCUCUCAGAGUCCAAGCAAUAGUCGGCAUGCUUAAAGCCCUCAAGGAUGAUGGUAUUGAGGAACUGCACAGUGGGUCAAAUGUUAAACGACUGUUGAACCGUCUUCCUCGUUCACAACAAACGCAAUUCAGGAGGCAUCAUCUCAAGAGAAACCCAGAUAAGACAAAGUUCUCUCUCCUUGAGUUUGCAGAUUGGCUGCAGCUGGAAGCUAACUGCUUAGAAUUUGACCCAACUGAUACCACCAGAACUCUAAAUCGAGAUCAAAGAGCAGUCACUCGACAACAAACCAGGCAAACCAGCAUACUGCAUGGUGUUAAUCAAAGACAGACUACAGAACAGGUAACCAAACCCACCAUAAUACAGCAGAAAGCACCUAAUAAACACAAACCUGUCUGUCCAUACUGCAAUGCGGAACAUUACCUCGGCCAGUGUACCGCCUUCAAUACAUUAACUAAGGAGCAGAUUGUGGGUUGGAUUAAAGAGAAUAAACGAUGCUGGAAAUGUGCACGUUUACACAUGGCUAAAGACUGUGACCUUCAAAAGCCUUGCCACCUGUGUCAAGCCAAACAUCUCUCUGUGCUCCAUGACAUAAAUCAAAGGAAAGCUGAAGUUACCAAUGAAAGCAGUAGUUUGUAUAACUCAACCACAGAGACUCUGUACCUAGACCAGCCACGCUGUGGGGGCAAAGUCUUUCUAAAGGUUGUCAAGGUUACACUUCAUUACCAACAAAAGGCUCUGGACACAUUUGCAAUACUUGACGAUGGCUCAGAGCGCACCAUUCUGCUUGCCACCGCUGCAAAUCACCUUGGUUUAAAGGGCAAACCAGAACAGUUGAACUUACGGACAGUACACCAAGAUAUCAGGACAUUACAUGGCACAUCUGUAUCCUUCUGUAUAUCCACUCCAAGUAACCCUGGUAAGAGAUAUGCAAUUCACGGGGCUUUUACCGCAGAGCAGUUUGGAUUAGCAGAAUACACUUAUCCAGUGAGUUCCUUGCAGAAAAGGUACAGACACCUCAGGGGCGUUCCCAUACCACCCCUGCACAAAGCUUGUCCCCUGCUGCUCAUUGGUUCAGAUCACACUGAGCUCAUCACACCAACUGAACCAGUGUUAUUGGGUCCACCUGGAGGUCCAGCAGCAAUCAGAACUCGCCUUGGCUGGGCUUUGCAAGGCCCCUCCAAACAUGUACAAGAACAACUCCCAAUUUCACAGUGCCUGUUCACAUCUAAUUGUUCUCCAUCCGCAGAACUUUAUCAUCAGAUUGAAAAGUUAUGGCAGAUGGACAUCCUGCCGUACCGAAGUGAGAAAAUUGUAGUAAGGUCACAACAGGACCAAGAAGCCUUGAACAUGCUCGAGACACAAACAGUGCAGGUGAAAGUGGAUGGAAUUGACAGAUAUGCCACCCCACUUUUAAGAGUCAAAACAAUGACUUUACUCAAUGCCCCCAAAGAGGCUGUAAUGUGCCAUCUCCGUAGCACUGAACGCUGUCUGACAAAGGACCCACCAUUAGCCCUCAAAUAUCAAGAGGAAAUCAAAAAACUGGAGAAUGCUGGUUAUGCCACUAAAAUACCACCUCAAGAAGCAGCCCAAUCUACAGAGUCAUGGUAUCUGCCCCACCACAUUGUGACACACAAUGGAAAGCACAGAGUGGUGUUCAAUUGCUCUUACACAUACAAUGGAGAAAAUCUGAACAAGCAGCUGUUGCCAGGACCAACAUUAGGCCCCACUCUCCUUGGAGUGUUAAUUCGCUUCAGAGAACAUCGAGUCGCCAUCAGUGGAGACAUUAAAGGGAUGUUUCACCAGGUCCGUCUGCUCCCCAAAGAUAAACCCCUUCUGCGGUUCUUGUGGCGGGACCUAAACCCUGAAAACCCACCUGAUGUGUAUGAGUGGCAAGUCCUUCCAUUCGGCACAACCUGUAGCCCCUGUUGUGCAACCUUUGCCGUUCAGCGACACGUUUUUAGCCAUUGCCAACAGGGUGACAAGCUACGACAGUCAGUUGAACAUUCCUUCUAUGUCGACAACUGCCUACAAAGCACUUCAUCUGCAGUUGAAGCCCGUGAACUAAUUGAUGGUCUAAGGUCCAUACUAGCCUCAGGGGGUUUCGAAAUCCGUCAGUGGGCAAGCAAUGAGGCCACAGUGGUCAGACAUCUCCCUAAAGAGGCCAAAUCAGAGAAUACUGAGCUGUGGAUUUCUCAAAGUCAGGCAGACCCCCAUGAAAUGACAAUGGGACUUAGCUGGCAUUGUGUACCAGACACCCUACAUUACCGUCGCCGCCCGCUGCCCUACCAGGAGGUAACAAUGAGGAAUAUCUAUCGUGUCCUUGCCAGCCAAUAUGACCCACUAGGCUACAUUAUACCCUUCACAACAAGGGCCAAAAUCAUUGUACGUCAACUGUGGGCAAAAGAACGAGAAUGGGAUGACCCCCUUCUACCAUCAGAACUACUGCAGGCCUGGCAGAAUUGGGAGGCCGAACUGAAUCAUCUUCCAAAAAUUACCAUGCCCCGUUGUUAUGUGUCGGCCACUCUAGACAUUCCAGAGGCAGAACGAGAGCUCCAUAUCUUCUGCGAUGCCUCUGCAGAAGCUUACGGGUCAGUAGCAUACCUUCGUACUGAGCACCAAGGCCAGAUUGAGCUGGCAUUCAUUCAUGCAAGAUCUAGAGUGUCACCCAAAAGGCAACAAUCUGUACCCAGGCUCGAACUGUGCGCCGCCCUCACUGGAGCACAGUUAGCCAAGCUGCUUCAUAAUGAGCUGUCACUCAAGAUCAAAGACACAUUCUUGUGGAGCGACUCAACAACCGUACUUACCUGGAUCAAAUCAGAAUCUUGCAGAUUUAAAGUUUUUGUGGGGACUAGAGUAACUGAAAUACAAGAGCUCACCGAAGGUUACUAUUGGCGGUUUGUAGAUUCAGGAAACAAUGUUGCAGAUGACAUCACACGUGGCAAAUCCUUGCUUGAACUGUCCCAACCCAACAGAUGGAGUAAAGGGCCAGAUUUCCUCUAUCUACCACCCGUUAGUUGGCCAGAAAGCCCUUCUGUAGAACUAGAUGCAGACCUGACUGAGCUCCGUAACACAAAGUUUUGUGGUCUCACCUUGGAUGGUUCUGGAUCAUCACUGCCAGAUGCCAACCAAUUCUCCACCUUUGAAGAACUUCUGGAGGCCACUUGUAGAUCCUUACAUGGGGCGGCAGGAGAAACCACUGACCCAGAAGCCAUACAGUACAGACAAGCUGAAACGGAUUUACUAAGGCGAGCCCAAACAGACAGUUUCCCCUCAGAGUAUAAUGCCCUUACAGCUGGUAAGCCAAUCCCAUCAUCAAGUCGUUUGCUUUCACUAUCACCUGAGUUGGAUAAGACAGCUGCACUCAUCCGUGUUGGAGGACGAUUACGGCAAGCCCAGCACUUGUGUUACAGUACUGUACAUCCAAUAGUCCUGGAUCCAAAUCACCCAAUCACCCGACUCCUCAUAAAACAGUAUGAUGCCAAACUCGGUCACCCUGGUCCAGAAAGGGUCUUUGCUGAAAUGCGAAGGUAUUACUGGAUCCUCAGAGGGAGAGAAGCAAUACGGCGCCAUCAACGUUCUUGUGUCGAAUGCCAAAGGUGGAGAGCAAAGCCCAAUAUCCCAAAGAUGGCAGAACUCCCUCCAGCCAGACUUCGUCUCAUGAAACCGCCUUUCUUUUCCACGGGAGUAGAUUGCUUUGGCCCAUUCCUUGUAAAACGAGGAAGGAGCAAUGAAAAGAAAUGGGGUAUUAUUUUCAAGUGCAUGACAACACGCUGUGUGCACUUAGAUCUUCUGGCCAACAUGGACACAGACUCCUUUCUAAUGGCUCUCAGACGCAUGGUUGCUCGACGAGGAACUCCCUCUGAAAUACUGGCAGAUCAGGGCACCAAUUUUCGAGGAGGAGAUAAAGAAUUACAAACUGCAUUUACAGCCAUGAGUCCCGAUCUCCAAGCCCAGUUAGCAAAACAGAAAAUCCAGUUCCAUUAUAAUCCUCCAAAUGCCCCACAUUUUGGAGGUAUGUGGGAGCGAGAAAUCCGCUCAGUCAAAGCAGCCUUACACACCAUAAUAGGACCCCAAACUCUCACAGAGGAAGUACUCAGAACACUCCUUAUAGAGGUUGAGGCUAUACUCAAUGCAAAGCCACUGGGUUAUGUUUCUUCUGACCUUGCUGACCCAGAUCCUGUGACCCCAAAUUACCUGUUGAUGGGGCGGCCAGAUGUGUCACUACCACAAGUCAUCUACCCAGAAUCUGAGAUCCUUAGUCGGAAAAGAUGGCGGCACUCACAGGUCUUGGCCGACCAGUUCUGGACGAGUUUCAUUAAGAAUUACUUACCCACCCUGCAACAACGUCAGAAAUGGAUGACAGACACCAGCAACCUCACACCUGGAACAGUCGUGAUGAUAAUAGAUCACCAACUUCCUCGAGCCUUGUGGCCUGUCGGCAAAGUUGUUACCACAUACCUCGGAUUGGAUGGUCGUGUUCGUUCAGCAACAAUAGAAGUCAAAAACAAACAAUAUCAUCGUCCUGUGGCUCGUCUUAUCACUCUGCCUUCUAUUCCAGAUGAUAACCCUACAACGGACUAAAAUGGCAAAGGAUGAUUGUACAUUUGCAUAGCAAAUGUAGGGGCGGCUGUAAAAGAGGUCGGUGGGCUGAGCCCAGAGCUGGACACGAGCUGUGCUCUCUCCUCACGCGUGCAUGCUGCGACAUCACGAACAGACUCCUAUAGAGCUCGUACUUGAUCAUGCGCUGAUCACGAGCACAGGCAGCCAAUCAAAACGCAGCUUAGGUCUGCUGUACAUUGAGACUGUUAACUGGUUUCAUUCUGAUCAGACAGAGAGAAAGGUUGCAUGCUUUGCUUUCCGCCUAAUUCCAGUCAGUUUUGUGUGCGUCAAUGAUGAGAAACCACACACACACACACACACCAAACACAUACACAAAGUGUGAUGGACAAUAAAGAGCUUUAAAUGGG
Molecule: non-coding RNA, 6971 nt
Organism: Danio rerio (zebrafish)
Lineage: Eukaryota; Metazoa; Chordata; Actinopteri; Cypriniformes; Danionidae
Source: RefSeq, a predicted model, not a curated record